GCUGGGCAUGGUGGCGGGUACCUGUAAUCCCAGCUACUCGGGAAGCUGAGGCAGGAGAAUCACUUGAACCCAGGAGGUGGAGGUUGCAGUGAACCAGGAUUGCGCCACUUAACUCCAGCCUGGGUGACAGAGUGAGACUCUGUCUCAA
Molecule: small RNA, 148 nt
Filed under: Cercocebus atys (sooty mangabey)
Lineage: Eukaryota; Metazoa; Chordata; Mammalia; Primates; Cercopithecidae
Also listed under: 2 other names
Description: Metazoan signal recognition particle RNA
Source: Rfam by way of RNAcentral